CCUACGGGGUGCAGCAGUGAGGAAUAUUGGUCAAUGGACGGAAGUCUGAACCAGCCAUGCCGCGUGCAGGAAGACGGCUCUAUGAGUUGUAAACUGCUUUUGUACAAGGGUAAACCUGAAUACGUGUAUUCAGCUGAAAGUACUGUACGAAUAAGGAUCGGCUAACUCCGUGCCAGCAGCCGCGGUAAUACGGAGGAUCCAAGCGUUCUCCGGAUUUAUUGGGUUUAAAGGGUGCGUAGGCGGAUUGAUAAGUUAGAGGGGAAAUGUCCGAGCUUAACUCGGGAACUGCCUCUAAUACUGUUGAUCUAGAGAGUAGAUGCGGUAGGCGGAAUGUAUGGUGUAGCGGUGAAAUGCUUAGAGAUCAUACAGAACACCGAUUGCGAAGGCAGCUUACCAAUCUAUAUCUGACGUUGAGGCACGAAAGCGUGGGGAGCAAACAGGAUUAGAUACCCGAGUAGUC
RNAcentral lists this ribosomal RNA (460 nucleotides) under uncultured bacterium. RNAcentral describes it as "partial 16S ribosomal RNA". It matches the Rfam family "Bacterial small subunit ribosomal RNA", at positions 338 to 795 of the family's 1533-position model. The record is from RNAcentral.